GUAUUUCUAUUUUCGAUGAGAGUCUAGCCAAGGAAGAAACAAGCUCUUUGGAUACCAUUUUAUUUUUAUAUUAUGUUUUUAUUUUCUUUUAGCAGCAUUAGUGUUGUCCAAAGAUUGAUUUUAUUUUGAACAUCUAUUCCAAUUCAACUAUAUUUUUUUAUUUUAUUUCUUUUGUGUUAUUUUAUUUAAUUGUGUUUAGGUAAUUGUUUAACUUGGUUUGAACUAAAAUCAGGUUAAGUAUGAACAUGUAAAAUAGUGAGGUCUAGUCUGGGCAAAGUAGUUGUGUGCGUGUUUUCCCGA
RNAcentral lists this long non-coding RNA (300 nucleotides) under Salvia miltiorrhiza (redroot sage). RNAcentral's name for it is "long non-coding RNA (SMIL_LNC004330)". Lineage: Eukaryota; Viridiplantae; Streptophyta; Magnoliopsida; Lamiales; Lamiaceae. The record is from RNAcentral.